AUCCCAGAUAAACUUGCCAGAGUGUUUGUCUGAUUCAUGGGAGGCAAAGAUCGACUGUGGAAGCUUCGCUGACAAUGCCUUGUUUCUUGUAGAGGUGUUUCUGAUAGUAGCUUACCAUACACAC
This 124-nucleotide small nucleolar RNA is filed under the name Amborella trichopoda. Lineage: Eukaryota; Viridiplantae; Streptophyta; Magnoliopsida; Amborellales; Amborellaceae. The record is from RNAcentral.